GCCGCUGUGAUGGAAUGGCAGACUUGGCUGACUCAAAAUCAGUUGCCCACCGGGCGUGUCGGUUCGAAUCCGACCAGCGGCA
Molecule: transfer RNA, 82 nt
Filed under: Clostridium sp. USBA 49
Lineage: Bacteria; Bacillati; Bacillota; Clostridia; Eubacteriales; Clostridiaceae
Rfam family: tRNA
About the family: Transfer RNA (tRNA) molecules are approximately 80 nucleotides in length. Their secondary structure includes four short double-helical elements and three loops (D, anti-codon, and T loops). Further hydrogen bonds mediate the characteristic L-shaped molecular structure. tRNAs have two regions of fundamental functional importance: the anti-codon, which is responsible for specific mRNA codon recognition, and the 3' end, to which the tRNAs corresponding amino acid is attached (by aminoacyl-tRNA synthetases). tRNAs cope with the degeneracy of the genetic code in two manners: having more than one tRNA (with a specific anti-codon) for a particular amino acid; and 'wobble' base-pairing, i.e. permitting non-standard base-pairing at the 3rd anti-codon position.
Source: Rfam by way of RNAcentral